UGAGGGAGUCUAGAAGGAUUGGGCUGUGG
Molecule: non-coding RNA, 29 nt
Filed under: Homo sapiens (human)
Lineage: Eukaryota; Metazoa; Chordata; Mammalia; Primates; Hominidae
Source: RNAcentral